This is a long non-coding RNA of Tachysurus fulvidraco (yellow catfish), 1218 nucleotides long. RefSeq lists it as uncharacterized. The record is from RefSeq and is a predicted model, not a curated record. NCBI's taxonomy places the organism in Eukaryota, Metazoa, Chordata, Actinopteri, Siluriformes, Bagridae. The transcript is spliced from 4 exons.
AAUUCUGCCCAGCCCCCCUAAAAAUUAUUUGAUUAAUUAUUUUAUGAUCGCUUCAGUCCCCUUUAAAAACGCAUUUGAAGCGGCGACAAGCUGCGUCAUGUUUCGGCUCCUCCCCUGAACUGAGUCUGCGUGGAUUCAGCGCGUUUUUCCAUCCAGCAGAGCAAACAUCAGAGAGUUCAAGGAGUAGGUCUGCAAAUGAGCAACAGUCAGAAAAGUCAGUGCAAAAAAGAGAAUGAAGUGGAGGCAGAGCAGACUGAAGAUGUCACAACAGAGAAAGGGAAAGAUCAUGAUUCAGGUUGCCCUCACUGUACCUGUUAGCAGCUGUUCGUGCAAGAGGUCCUUCGGUGCUCUUCGUCGUCUCCGCAACUGGCUAAGGAGAACAACGGGUCAGAGCAGGUUCCAUCAACUGGCAGUUAUGGCCAUUGAGAAAGAUGUCGUUGAGCAAUCGGACCAUGAUAAAAUUAUCAACAGGUUUGCUACUCUUAAGGAGAGAAGACACAGGUUGAUGGUCCCAAUGAAAGACCAGUAACUGGACUGCAAAAACUUUGUCCCUGCUUCUCACAAGCUGCUUCAUUUUCGCUUGUUUUUCAUUCCUUCUGAUAGUUAACCACAGUCCAUUGUCCAGCCUCAUACUGUACAUGUUUAUAUUGCUGAUAUGCAUAGUCAAAUUUUAUGGCUUUUAUGUUAUUUUCUGGUUAAAAGUUGGUUAAAAGUUUAUUUUAUUUUGUCAAAAAAGUUCCUUAUCUGAGGUUUUAUUGUGAGCAUAGAAAUGCAAACAGUAAAAUGUUGUGUUUGUACUGGAAACAUGUGUAUGUGUCUUUGUACAGUGAGUAAUGAAUCAGGAAGUCUUCAUUGUAAAAAAAAAACUAAUCUAAACCUAUGGUUAAGAGUAUUAUAUAAAGAGAUGGACCAAUGAAACCGAGCAGGUUUUACAAGCCUGUUUUGACCUCAGUGAGUGGAGUGUUUUUGAAGCUGCUGCCAACAAUCUGUACAAGACCAUUGAGACUUUAACUUCAUAUAUCAGUUUCUGUGAGGACACAUGCAUCCCUACCAGAAGUCAUCUAACGACGAUAAGCCAUGGUUUACAGCAAAACUCAAACAUCUUCAUCAAGCCAAAGAGGAUGCCUACAGAAACGGCAUUCUUUCAUCUAUAGCACAACUGUACAUACAAAUGAUUUAUUUUUCUAUUUAUUUAUUUAUGUAUUUAUUUAUUUAUUU